RNAcentral lists this non-coding RNA (182 nucleotides) under human gut metagenome. RNAcentral also lists the same sequence under 1 other name. The record is from RNAcentral.
GGCACACUUUGCCGGCUCGAGCUUAAUAGGGAAUCAGGUGAGAAUCCUGGACAGUCCCGCUGCUGUAAGUCGCAAAACAGCAUCACCGGCACUCUAUUCAAAGUCACUGAAUCGCGAAAGCAAUAGAUUUGGGAAGACAGCAUGGUGAUGGCGAUAAGUCAGAAGACCUGCCAUUCAAUAAA